Molecule: long non-coding RNA, 618 nt
Organism: Lycium barbarum (goji berry)
Lineage: Eukaryota; Viridiplantae; Streptophyta; Magnoliopsida; Solanales; Solanaceae
Exons: 2
Source: RefSeq, a predicted model, not a curated record
AAGCACUUCAGUAUUUUUUUUUUCAGAUUUCUCUCGCAUUUAACAAAAAUCAGACCUUCGGCGUCAUUUUUCCACCUUCCCCUCCAACUUUCCAUGUUCCUUCGUUCUCCCCUUUUCUUGGUGAUAAACUUCCCUUUUCAGAGCUAUCCCUCAUAAUUUCUUUAGAGAGAUGGAAUUCAGAUAAUCAAAAUUAGUAACUUGUUUUCUUGCUAAAGACUCAAAAAUGCUAUCAAGCAAAUUAACGUCAAGUUCAAUGAGGUUAACAACCUAAUUGUUGGAGAGCGCAUCAUUGUGGACUUUGAUGAGUACAACGCAACAUAUGGUGACGCUCAAGGAUUGCUCGCUAGAUAUUGUGGAUCAUUGACAAUUGAUUGUAAUUUAUUCCUGAUACGCUCAAAUUACAUCUAUUAUUGGCGUAAAGCGUAUAUUGUCAAAUAUAGUAACCCAAACAAGGUUGGGGUUGAAUUCCACAGGAAAUAUGGAGAGAAAAAGAUACUAAUUAUAUAUGUAACUAAUCUCUAGAAACUUUAAUUUUAUUCCGAACAGUAUAGAGGAGAGGUUUGGUUUGUAUGUGCUAUUUUAAAGUAUUUGGGAUUUGUUUGGAUUGAAAGAACCAAA